Molecule: ribosomal RNA, 245 nt
Filed under: uncultured Alloiococcus sp.
Lineage: Bacteria; Bacillati; Bacillota; Bacilli; Lactobacillales; Carnobacteriaceae
Description: partial 16S ribosomal RNA
Rfam family: Bacterial small subunit ribosomal RNA
Source: RNAcentral
UACGUAGGUGACAAGCGUUGUCCGGAUUUAUUGGGCGUAAAGCGAGCGCAGGCGGUCCGGUAAGUCUGAUGUGAAAGCCCACGGCUCAACCGUGGAACGGCAUUGGAAACUGGCGGACUUGAAUGUAGCAGAGGAAAGUGGAAUUCCAUGUGUAGCGGUGGAAUGCGUAGAUAUAUGGAGGAACACCAGUGGCGAAAGCGACUUUCUGGGCUAUGAUUGACGCUGAGGCUCGAAAGCGUGGGGAG